This 497-nucleotide ribosomal RNA is filed under the name uncultured bacterium. RNAcentral describes it as "partial 16S ribosomal RNA". It matches the Rfam family "Bacterial small subunit ribosomal RNA", at positions 28 to 507 of the family's 1533-position model. The record is from RNAcentral.
GAUGAACGCUGGCGGCGUGCCUAAUACAUGCAAGUCGAGCGAACAGACGAGGAGCUUGCUCCUUUGACGUUAGCGGCGGACGGGUGAGUAACACGUAGGUAACCUACCUAUAAGACUGGGAUAACUUCGGGAAACCGGAGCUAAUACCGGAUAAUAUUUCGAACCGCAUGGUUCGAUAGUGAAAGAUGGCUUUGCUAUCACUUAUAGAUGGACCUGCGCCGUAUUAGCUAGUUGGUAAGGUAACGGCUUACCAAGGCAACGAUACGUAGCCGACCUGAGAGGGUGAUCGGCCACACUGGAACUGAGACACGGUCCAGACUCCUACGGGAGGCCGCAGUAGGGAAUCUUACGCAAUGGGCGAAAGCCUGACGGAGCAACGCCGCGUGAGUGAUGAAGGUCUUCGGAUCGUAAAACUCUGUUAUUAGGGAAGAACAAACGUGUAAGUAACUGUGCACGUCUUGACGGUACCUAAUCAGAAAGCCACGGCUAACUACGUG